Molecule: ribosomal RNA, 253 nt
Filed under: uncultured bacterium
Lineage: Bacteria
Description: partial 16S ribosomal RNA
Rfam family: Bacterial small subunit ribosomal RNA
Source: RNAcentral
UACGGAGGAUCCAAGCGUUAUCCGGAUUUAUUGGGUUUAAAGGGCGCGUAGGCGGAAUGAUAAGUCAGUGGUGAAAGCCUGCAGCUUAACUGUAGAAUUGCCGUUGAUACUGUUGUUCUUGAGUAUAUUUGAUGUGGGCGGAAUGUGUCAUGUAGCGGUGAAAUGCUUAGAUAUGACACAGAACACCGAUGGCGAAGGCAGCUCACAAAACUAUAACUGACGCUGAGGCACGAAAGCGUGGGGAGCAAACAGG